GUUUAAUAAUUAUUCAUCAAUAUUAUUCAAUUUAAGUAUGCACAUACAAUAUUGGUUAGCAGAAAAACAUUGUGUUGGGGGAAAAAGGAGAAGACUGGAUUUUCAAUUUUUUUUUGGGUACUCAGCAAGUAUGGCAAAAGGCUGAAAAUGGAGAGAAAGGCCCACUAACAUCAAUUCAGUUGCACUAACGUAAUGUGACAUAGAGAAAACUACAAGCAGGCCUCUCUCUUAUUUCUCUGUUUCUACUUAAAACCUCUACACCGAAAAAGCCUCUGUGCACCACUUGUUUCAUUCCCAGGCCUCACUCACUUGUGCUUGAGCAUUUUGAAGGCGUCCUUGGAGCUGCAUCCAAUAAUAUCAAUAGGGAAAUUAAUUAUCAAAAAAAAAAAAUUUGAUAGUAGUAAUAAUUAAAAAAAAAUUCAGAAUUCACAAUUUUUUUUUUUAAAAUUACCUAAUCCAAUUGCUUCUGAGCUUUUCAUCAACCUUAGUCGCUUACACGAUUCAACAAACAUUUUCCAUGGUACAUCCCCAACCAUCAUCCAGUCACCAUCUUUAUCCUCAUAAGCAGCUACGUAUUCCACUCCGUUCACUAUUGUCUUCUCAUUCAAAUAAUUCCGUAUGGUGAAGCAAGAGAACAUGUCCUCUAAGGCACUCAAGAGCUGCUGAUAGCUAUUGUAAAUCUCAAGAUCAACCUUCCUUAAGUAUGGGGCUCCGUCCACCGCCACCUUCACAUAUUUACAGCUUUUCAUGGCGUUCUUUCUAUAUGAUCUCACUGGCGGCCACCCUACCACUUGUUCCUUUGCUGCCGGAGGCUUCGCCACGCCCGAGACAUGGUUCUCCGACUCAGUACAAUCUUUGUCGGUAGGAGAUCGAGAGCUAACAAGAUUUAGAUCAACGGUAUCCAAAAAUCCACGUUUAGUCCCUGUUUUCCCUCCGUUAGUAAUCUCUGUUGAUGCUCGAGACACACCGGGCAAGGCUAAGGUCAAUUCUGUUUCCUUCAAAUUGAUGCCGGAAGUAUCUGAUUCCUGCGACAUAUUUUCUCAACAGUGAGGUUGUUGAAUGGUACCGUGGUGGCGGUGCUAAAUUGGGUUUGUUUUUUAGGACGCCUGCGUGCUGAAAUGGUGAAGCGACGCAAGUCUUUGGACUCUAUUAUAUAAGAGGAAGGAGAAUCUGGCGGGCAAUAG
RNAcentral lists this unclassified non-coding RNA (1184 nucleotides) under Hevea brasiliensis (rubber tree). The record is from RNAcentral. Lineage: Eukaryota; Viridiplantae; Streptophyta; Magnoliopsida; Malpighiales; Euphorbiaceae.